Molecule: ribosomal RNA, 208 nt
Filed under: uncultured Glomeromycotina
Lineage: Eukaryota; Fungi; Glomeromycota
Description: partial 18S ribosomal RNA
Rfam family: Eukaryotic small subunit ribosomal RNA
Source: RNAcentral
AGCAGCCGCGGUAAUUCCAGCUCCAAUAGCGUAUGCAAAAGUUGUUGCAGUUAAAAAGCUCGUAGUUGAACCCCGGGUUGUAGGUGAGGGUUCUGGUAGUUGUGGUUUAAAGUGUGCUAUCUGGAAACAGGUAGUACGCCCCGCAGCCUCCUCAUGCUUGACAGCCUUACUUUGUGUGGGGUGGCAGUGCCUUUAACCGGGUGCUGGC